AGUGAACGCUGGCGGUAUGCCUAACACAUGCAAGUCGAACGGCAGCACAGUAAGAGCUUGCUCUUACGGGUGGCGAGUGGCGGACGGGUGAGGAAUACAUCGGAAUCUACUUUUUCGUGGGGGAUAACGUAGGGAAACUUACGCUAAUACCUCAUACGACCUACGGGUGAAAGCAGGGGAUCUUCGGACCUUGCGCGAUUGAAUGAGCCGAUGUCGGAUUAGCUAGUUGGCGGGGUAAAGGCCCACCAAGGCGACGAUCCGUAGCUGGUCUGAGAGGAUGAUCAGCCACACUGGAACUGAGACACGGUCCAGACUCCUACGGGAGGCAGCAGUGGGGAAUAUUGGACAAUGGGCGAAAGCCUGAUCCAGCCAUACCGCGUGGGUGAAGAAGGCCUUCGGGUUGUAAAGCCCUUUUGUUGGGAAAGAAAAGCAGCAGGUUAAUACCCCGCUGUUCUGACGGUACCCAAAGAAUAAGCACCGGCUAACUUCGUG
RNAcentral lists this ribosomal RNA (492 nucleotides) under uncultured bacterium. Its description in RNAcentral is "partial 16S ribosomal RNA". It matches the Rfam family "Bacterial small subunit ribosomal RNA", at positions 29 to 507 of the family's 1533-position model. The record is from RNAcentral.